UCUCUCUCUCUCUCUCUUUAAUGCUGAAAACACUUCUUUUGGCUGUGCCCAGCCAUUUGUUUGUGCUUUCUUUUUAUUAGCUUCCUCUGCAUGGCUGCCUUUGCGCUUUAUAUCACAAUGUCAUAUUAUCAAGGCUCCAGAAUGAAUGUGAACUUCCCGUUGUUUCUGAGCACGACUUUCUCGGUGACAGUUCCGGCAAUUUACUUCCCACUGAAGAAACCAGGAAGGCCCUGCCCUCUGGGACAUCGAGGAGCAGAAGGGCACACAGCAGAAUCCCACGCAUCCCCCUGCGGCAGAGGUAGAUUGCAGGAGAACGUUGCUUACUUUGAUGUAUGAAAGCAGCAUGAGCCGAAACACCGAGCAACAGAUGAUCCAUUACCACAAACAAGAAACAAAUGUGCUAAAUUAAAAUAAAUUGAUACAGAUG
Molecule: long non-coding RNA, 427 nt
Filed under: Pogona vitticeps (central bearded dragon)
Lineage: Eukaryota; Metazoa; Chordata; Lepidosauria; Squamata; Agamidae
Description: lncRNA (ENSPVIG00000023670.1)
Source: RNAcentral